GGAAGGGUGGCAGAGUGGUCGAUUGCACCGGUCUUGAAAACCGGCAACGUGGCAACACGUUCGAGGGUUCGAAUCCCUCCCCUUCCGC
Molecule: transfer RNA, 88 nt
Filed under: Urbifossiella limnaea
Lineage: Bacteria; Pseudomonadati; Planctomycetota; Planctomycetia; Gemmatales; Gemmataceae
Description: Planctomycetes bacterium ETA_A1 tRNA-Ser
Rfam family: tRNA
About the family: Transfer RNA (tRNA) molecules are approximately 80 nucleotides in length. Their secondary structure includes four short double-helical elements and three loops (D, anti-codon, and T loops). Further hydrogen bonds mediate the characteristic L-shaped molecular structure. tRNAs have two regions of fundamental functional importance: the anti-codon, which is responsible for specific mRNA codon recognition, and the 3' end, to which the tRNAs corresponding amino acid is attached (by aminoacyl-tRNA synthetases). tRNAs cope with the degeneracy of the genetic code in two manners: having more than one tRNA (with a specific anti-codon) for a particular amino acid; and 'wobble' base-pairing, i.e. permitting non-standard base-pairing at the 3rd anti-codon position.
Source: RNAcentral